Molecule: long non-coding RNA, 2615 nt
Organism: Mastomys coucha (southern multimammate mouse)
Lineage: Eukaryota; Metazoa; Chordata; Mammalia; Rodentia; Muridae
Exons: 2
Source: RefSeq, a predicted model, not a curated record
AUUUGCCCCAAAUGCUGAAGGAGAUGGUCUCAUGAAACUAAGAAGAAGUAACCAACCAUAUGACUUAGACUAGAAUAAAUGGGUAGUUAAGUUAUGACCUAGGUCGGAAACAAACCAGAGCUUAUGUAUGGCCUAGGCAUUUAUUCUUGUGUAAGAAGUCUCAGAGUUGUUAGUUUGGGAACAAAGAGGCCAGGUGGAAAAGCCCACAACAACACCCUCUCUCCCUCCUUCUCCCCUCUUCUUCUUAGACUCUGUGAGGUGGACUGAUCAUCUCUACCGUAGGCUCUCUCCCACCCUGGUUGAUCACACCAACACAGGCUUAGAGCUACAGUGCUAAGCAACUGUGGACAUUCUUCUCUGAAACCUGAGAUGAAAUAAACCUUUCUUCUUUUAAGGCUGUUACUUCAGGAAUUGUAUCACAGUGACUCAAGCUUCACAGUGACUUCUAUAGAUAGUAUAGUGUAUGUUCCCAUAAUACCUUCUUAGUCGUCCAUAUCACUGAAGUGCAUGUUAACUGACAUUCCUCAUUUCUGCUUGGCCAAUGAUUAUGACCAGUUUUAGGAUCCUGCAGGUUUGGGGAGAUAAAUAGAUCAGUUGAAUUUCCAUUUUGGUUAUGCAUGAAAAGAAGUGAAAUAAUUCAAGAACCAUUGGAAUGUAAAACCCGAAAUCCAGAGAUCUUUGUGACAGUAUGUCAUCAUCUCUACGUGGUACCAUCAGCAGCUCUGGAAGAGAGCAGAAUUUACAUUCCAGUGAACGCCUGUCUCAUCAGGACGCUGAAAGUCAAAGCAUCAACUUCUAGGACCAGCAAGCUGACAUCGCUGUUGUGAGGAUGUGAACUUGGCUUCCAUGUCAGUGUUUCUGCUUCACUGGAACAAGGAAACAGAGGGCUUUGACUUUGUUUUCUGGUGUCCAUUGGCCUCGCCCCUCUUUCUUCCUUCCUUUCUUACACAAUACAAGUGACUGAAACGUUUCCCCUUUCACCACUGUACGGAUAUAGUGUCAAGAUAAAGAACAACGAUUUUCCCCCCCUCUUUGAGGGUUGGGAGGAAUAUUGGUUGUUAAGCUCCAUAGAAAGUUAUUGGUUCUAGAUGCUUUGAAUUUUAAAACACAGUGGACCAGGGAAGAAGAAUGGCUGUUCAUGUUGAUUUGAAUUGUUCUUUCAAUAGGUAACUACUGGCCCAACUGAGAAGUAGCAGUUUUCACUUAUUUAGGGUUGUAUAAACAAGAUUAUAAGUAUGUUCUUUUAGGUCAGAUUCACAGAGGAUUUAUAUGUACAAUGCUGGAAGUGAGACCUGGAGAGCUACAGUGCAGGCAGAUAUAGGAAACAGGGGGUCUUAGGGUCGACCAGAUAGAUGCAGUCUCAUCUGCCACAUUUACCAGAGUUCUAAAAAGGCCUCCUCCCCAGUAUACAAUCAGACUUGACCUCCAAAUCUGAGUACACAUGAGUUCGUUUGUAACAGUCUGGGGGAUUUGAGAAGUUCAGGCCUACCAACAUCCCCCUAGUUACAAUGUAAUAUUUAUGAAGUUUGCCAUAUUAGAUUUCAUGAAGAGGUGAAGUUAUUAUAAGAAUUCUAAAUGAUCUCAAUUAAUUUAUAAUUAGAGCCUGAAGAGGAGCCAGAAAGCGUGUGAACUCAAGUUUUAGAAGAACUGAAUUUUAAUAUACUUCUCUUUUCUACCUUUUCCUCCACUUUAUAUAACUAUUGAUUUAUUCACCCCAUCUCCCCCGGCUCCCACAAAGUUAUCAAGGUAAAUGCUAAGAAGUGGCUCAGACAUUUCUAGACAGGUCAUAGCUGUCUAGAUAGGUUUUGUUUACAUCUACAAUGUUUAAAACUUUUCCAAUUUAUUUUUACUUCAUCAGCAAAAAGGCCAAACUAAACCAAAAAACAAACAAAACAAAACAAAACAAAAACCCAACACCAACCCUGUUUUUUGACCUCUAUUGUAAAAGGAAGAACUUUUCAGCUAGGUCUGUAAAUUCCGUGAAGUACUUCUUCCAUCUCAUUCCCAAGGGAUCAAUUCUCAAAGGUUUAAGUUGUGCCCAGAAGGUCCCUGGCUCACCUCAUCAAUGCUCCUUGUUUGGAGCAAUCAGAGAAUAACAUAACUGAGAAGUAUUGCUUUCAGGAACCUACUUCAUGUCACCAAACAUUGUCCUCAGAGACAGCAAUGAUGCAGGAGGAAGUGAAUUUUAUCAUUUCACCAUUUUUUCCUUCUAGAGGAGCCCUCAAGGGCCAGCUUUUAAGGUUUAUGCAUAUACAUAUAUAUGUAUAUGUAUACAUAUAUGUGUGUAUGUAUAUAUGUAUAUGUAUGUAUGUAUAUAUAUAUGUGUGUGUAUAUAUAUGUUUAAUUUUUUUUCUUCUGGUCUACUCUCCACUUAACCACACAAAGAAAUUCUUGCUUCUGGGACCUAAACUCUGGUUUCACCUUUGGUCUCUAGUAAGCAUAUUUGUGUACUUACCUGUAUCCUGUGUUACCUGGAUGGGGAGUUGACAGGGUGGGUGGUCCUGAUGUUGGGUGGGAGAGAGCUGGCCUACUGAUUUGCGUUCACAACUAACCAUCAAAGAUGUAAAGCGAGCAGAGCCAUGAGAAUUUUAUUAAAUGCUGGUGAGCACACUGCA